UAGACUCUUCUCUUGAAGGAUCUCCCGUUUUCCAUUUCUACCCUCUCUCCUGGGCCAGCUGUUUAUUUCUUCUGGUGUGAUUUCCUAAUUGUAGCCACUACUAAUCUGCUAAUUACUCUGCUGAUUCUUAUCCAGCCCUCCCACACAAAUGAUCCCCAGUUUUGUUCCUGUCCUGUUCUUGCCUAGGCUGAGAAAGGCCCUCAAAGUUUUCAUCAUGGGGACCCGGCUUUCCAGUUCUGACUGGGCUCCAUCCCACCCACACCAGGUUUCUCUGGGCCAGGUGCUCAGGCCAUGACCUGCCUGACUCAGCAUUUUUGGAAACAUGUCUGGGCUACCCCCAAAGAGCACCCUCGGCUCUGCUGAAACAAUUCUGCAUUCUCCAAGAUAAAGUCAAGUCCUACCUGUUCAGUGGAAGGUUUCCCUGAAGCUGUUCUGGUUGAUGCGGUCCAAGCUGGACUUGUAUUUGUCUGAAUUCUUACUACUUUAGUUGUUAAGUGCUGAAUCACCUGGAAUUUAAUUGCUCUCUGAUUGUUCAACUUCCCAGGUGAGACAAAGAACUGUACUGUGACUGUGUCAUAAUGUUCCCUGCCCUUCUAACAGCCCAGGCUUAAGGACCACCUACUUCUGGAUUAACUGCUCAAUCCAUAUGCACGUGCAGGUGAAAGAUAGACUAUUUCCUUUGCUCUCCCAGCAAUCUUCCUUUUGUGAAUUGGUCCCUUUCCAUCCCUUGAGCAUUUUUAGCUCUGGAUUCUGGAAUCAGAUAGAACUGGAUUGAAGCUCUGGUUUAUUGUAUGACCUCGGGCAAGUUGUUCAGCCUCUCUAAAAUCCCUCUACAAAAUGCUGAUGUAUUAUGUCCUUCAGCCCAGACCUUCAUGUCACUAACUACCCACAAAGGCCUAGAGACAAAGCUGCCUGUGGCAACAAGUCCCUCUGGUUGUCUACCUUACACCUCUCUUCCCUUGCCCCAUCUGCAUGCUCUUUCAACAGCUCAUGGCCACAUGAGCAAGUGACCACAGCUUCUGUAGCUAUCAUCCUGAGAUCCUUUGGGACAGUCAGGAAAUACCUAAAUAUUGAGAUAAGUGUUCUCCACAUUCAUUGAGAAAGUUCUACCAAAAUCAAAAAGCUAGAUGAUAGAUAUGAGUAUCUAAUACUGGUGAGCACCUACCAGAGUCAGCAGCUCUAUAUCCUGC
This 1190-nucleotide long non-coding RNA is filed under the name Marmota monax (woodchuck). Lineage: Eukaryota; Metazoa; Chordata; Mammalia; Rodentia; Sciuridae. The record is from RNAcentral.